UCAAAUCAGGUAGGACUACCCGCUGAACUUAAGCAUAUCAAUAAGCGAAGGAAA
Molecule: ribosomal RNA, 54 nt
Filed under: Battarrea phalloides
Lineage: Eukaryota; Fungi; Basidiomycota; Agaricomycetes; Agaricales; Agaricaceae
Description: partial 28S ribosomal RNA
Source: RNAcentral